This 273-nucleotide ribosomal RNA is filed under the name uncultured bacterium. RNAcentral's name for it is "partial 16S ribosomal RNA". It matches the Rfam family "Bacterial small subunit ribosomal RNA", at positions 524 to 796 of the family's 1533-position model. The record is from RNAcentral.
GACAGAGGGGGCAAGCGUUGCUCGGAAUCACUGGGCGUAAAGGGCGCGUAGGCGGGUCCGGAAGUCGGUCGUGAAAUCCCUGAGCUCAACUCAGGGGGGUCGGCCGAGACUCCGGGUCUUGAGGGGGGCAGAGGAGCCUGGAAUUCCCGGUGUAGCGGUGAAAUGUGUAGAGAUCGGGAGGAACACCGGUGGCGAAGGCGGGGCUCUGGGCCCACCCUGACGCUGAGGCGCGAAAGCGUGGGGAGCAAACGGGAUUAGAUACCCGAGUAGUCC